Long non-coding RNA from Bombina bombina (fire-bellied toad), 458 nucleotides. RefSeq lists it as uncharacterized. NCBI's taxonomy places the organism in Eukaryota, Metazoa, Chordata, Amphibia, Anura, Bombinatoridae. The record is from RefSeq and is a predicted model, not a curated record. The transcript is spliced from 3 exons.
GGAGAAGCAAGCCAGCAGGUGCUGUGUGUGCAGAGAAGCACAGGGGAAGGAGGUGGAACAGCACCAGUAGGCAUUGGCUGUCUUGCAGACAGUAGCACAGAAAGACAGAGAGUGAGAAGAUCUUAUUCUGUGGGCCUCUGUAAGGUCUCUCGCGCAUGCGCAGUUGCGCUGAAGGGAUGCCACACGCACUAGCAGGAUCAGUACCAGUUGCAUCACAACUUCCAUCACCCAUCAUGCAAUUUGGUACAUCUCUGUCUUGACUGAUAUGGCUGAAAGAUUUAUCAAAGAUGGAGGACAGUGCUUUGUUAAUUAGAAUCUUAUGUUUCCCCUUUAAAAUACAGGCCACUCCCAUGAAACGCCCAAGAAACUGCCUCAGAAGACCUAUAUAUUCGUUAUGUCUGUGAUUUCUAUUGUUAAUAAAGAACAAAAAAAUAAAAAACACCUUACUGUUAAACUUA